Molecule: unclassified non-coding RNA, 182 nt
Filed under: Glomeraceae sp.
Lineage: Eukaryota; Fungi; Glomeromycota; Glomeromycetes; Glomerales; Glomeraceae
Description: partial contains 5.8S ribosomal RNA and internal transcribed spacer 2
Rfam family: 5.8S ribosomal RNA (bases 1-71)
Source: RNAcentral
GUGAAUCAUCAAAUUUUUGAACGCAAAUUGCACUCCCUGGUAUUCCGGGGGGUAUGCCUGUUUGAGGGUCGUUAGUACACUAAUCGAAGCGUCGCUCUUUUUUUUUAGGGGUGAUCGUGUCGGAUUUGAGCCGCCUUUCAGAUGUUAAUUGAUGUCAAAGUGGCUUGAAAUUGAUCCAUCCG